This 473-nucleotide ribosomal RNA is filed under the name uncultured organism. RNAcentral describes it as "partial 16S ribosomal RNA". It matches the Rfam family "Bacterial small subunit ribosomal RNA", at positions 333 to 797 of the family's 1533-position model. The record is from RNAcentral.
ACACUCCUACGGGAGGCAGCAGUGGGGAAUAUUGCACAAUGGGCGCAAGCCUGAUGCAGCCAUGCCGCGUGUAUGAAGAAGGCCUUCGGGUUGUAAAGUACUUUCAGCGGGGAGGAAGGCGAUAAGGUUAAUAACCUUGUUGAUUGACGUUACCCGCAGAAGAAGCACCGGCUAACUCCGUGCCAGCAGCCGCGGUAAUACAGAGGGUGCAAGCGUUAAUCGGAAUUACUGGGCGUAAAGCGCACGCAGGCGGUCUGUCAAGUCGGAUGUGAAAUCCCCGGGCUCAACCUGGGAACUGCAUUCGAAACUGGCAGGCUAGAGUCUUGUAGAGGGGGGUAGAAUUCCAGGUGUAGCGGUGAAAUGCGUAGAGAUCUGGAGGAAUACCGGUGGCGAAGGCGGCCCCCUGGACAAAGACUGACGCUCAGGUGCGAAAGCGUGGGGAGCAAACAGGAUUAGAAACCCUGGUAGUCCCA